This is a long non-coding RNA of Pogoniulus pusillus (Red-fronted tinkerbird), 331 nucleotides long. RefSeq lists it as uncharacterized. Lineage: Eukaryota; Metazoa; Chordata; Aves; Piciformes; Lybiidae. The record is from RefSeq and is a predicted model, not a curated record. The transcript has 3 exons.
UUGCCUUUUGCUGGUUACUGGCCUGAGAACUAUUCAGAAGAAUGGGAGACCAGAACUUGAGCACCCCACAAACUGGUUGCAAUACUGCAGGUGAAAAGGACCAGCCUGUGAAAUCCUUGGCUUUGAGAACAGAAGGUGGACAGUGGCAGAACUUCUUCCAAGUCCCAAGAUGGGGAGAAACGGCUAACCAAUGUGACUUAUGGAAAAUGAGACCUUGCAACAUGCAAAGGAUUAUGAGGUAAGGCUGUUUAAUCAGCACUGGGUGACAAGGGGAGGCCCUCCUCCAAAGCCCUUGCACUUCAUCUUGUUCAGGUAAAACAUUUAUGCUACA